RNAcentral lists this transfer RNA (69 nucleotides) under Agrilus discalis. Its description in RNAcentral is "tRNA-Met". It matches the Rfam family "tRNA". Rfam says of the family: Transfer RNA (tRNA) molecules are approximately 80 nucleotides in length. Their secondary structure includes four short double-helical elements and three loops (D, anti-codon, and T loops). The record is from RNAcentral. Lineage: Eukaryota; Metazoa; Arthropoda; Insecta; Coleoptera; Buprestidae.
AAAAAGGUAAGCUAAUAAAGCUAAUGGGUUCAUACCCCUUAUAUGAAGGUUAUAAUCCUUCUCUUUUUA